Molecule: long non-coding RNA, 437 nt
Filed under: Manihot esculenta (cassava)
Lineage: Eukaryota; Viridiplantae; Streptophyta; Magnoliopsida; Malpighiales; Euphorbiaceae
Description: long non-coding RNA (MESC_LNC012303)
Source: RNAcentral
CAAAUAAACGAAAAGAAUAAAAGAGGAGAAACUGAGGAGAAGCCAUAAACAGAUAAUAGAGGAGAAACUGAACAAAGCGAAGACAGAGACAAAAACUGAGCAAACCUGAAGAGAGUUCCAGUCAAAGGAAAUGUCGCCGACGCCGAUUGGGGAGAGGCAAGGGUUGUCUCCAGUGAAGUGGGGGAAGAGAGGCGUUGACUGGAAAUUAUGGGAAGGGAAUCGGGGGAGAGAGGUGCCGACGGAGAGAGGGAAGUGUGACUCUAGCAAAAUGGAAAAAUAAAUGAGGGGAUUAGGGUUAGUUUUGUUAGAAUAGCUAAUUAGGGAUUAGGGAUUAAGAAUUAGGGAUUAGGGUUAGUUUUGUUAGGGAUUAGGGAUUAAAGAUUAGGAAUUAGGGAUUAGAGAUUAAAAUUAGGGAUUAGGGUUAGGGAUUAGGAAUU